The sequence is a signal recognition particle RNA, 98 nucleotides long. It matches the Rfam family "Bacterial small signal recognition particle RNA". Rfam says of the family: The signal recognition particle (SRP) is a universally conserved ribonucleoprotein involved in the co-translational targeting of proteins to membranes.
AGCCAAGCCCUGUGCAACUUCUUGUUGGACAACCCUGCCAGGUCCGGAAGGAAGCAACAGCCUCCAAACAAAAGUGUGAUGCAGUAAGCUUGGCUUUU